GAAUCCUUGUGAAAAAGGCUGAAUCUCAAUGGAUCGUGGCAGCAAGGCCACUCUGCCACUUACAAUACCUAAUUAUGUAUUUAAGUCGUUUGCAAAAGAUUCAACCCGAAUUCCAAUCGUAUUAACUUUACAAGAUGGCUAAUCCAACACAUCGGAUGGGCUAACUUAACCAACGACAUGAGCCCAAGGGAGCACAAAGCACACUCACUUUAGGACGACACUUGAAAAAAGGGCAAUUGUGUCGUAUUACCAUCUCCGGCUAACUUAACCCAACGCAUGUAAACUUCUCUAUACCUCCAUAGUAGCCAGAUCCUUCGGUGAUCCUUUACCAGUUCUUACCCGUUCUCUCCUUGCGAUGUCAGUAGCUUCCACAUCCUUAGGUAGGAACCCAUCGCCGCCAGACGUGCCCACCUAUAUUUCUCAGCCAGUAUUUCCUUCUACUCCGGCGUGCUAGCAGUUACAGAAUUGCGAGUUGGGUUCCCACGCCCACCACGACCUCCAUUGAAAUUUAACCUCCCUCCUCCGCGUCCACCGUAUCCCCUACCUCUCACCAAGAUGCCUACUGCGAUAUUAAACGUCUGCCCAGUUCCAGUUUUAUUUCUCUCGGACUUGCCACCCUUCCCAUAACUUACCUCCGUCCAUCCACCACCAUCGUUGAUCUCCAUGGAGGUCUGAUCCGUGACCGAACGUUGAAGACGACUCCCAAUCUUCCGUCAAUCCGUAUCUGCAACAUGCAAAAAAGAAAAUCGCAAAAAAAUUGCCCUUCGCUCUUUUGAAAUUGAUUUUUUUGUGAAAAAGGACUUGUGGCAGUCAAUUUUUUUUUGAUAACGGAGGGUACCCUCUCUACAGAUGUAGAGCUGUCAACCUCAGGAUGAUAUAUCAGAGCCACAUAAUAUAUUAUCGGUCAAAUCUAAGUGAAAUGUACAAAAUAAAAUUUGAACCUUGGACCUCAGAAACCUUAAUAGUUCCUGAGACCAGUGAGCCAAUUUUUUUGAGUAAAACCAUACUUGGCAAUACAUAGAUUUUAACCAAAAACGAGACCCAGGUGACAAACCACCUGUCCUCAAGUCUCUAAACCUUGCUGUUACAAGCACACACCAACUUUAGAGACUGCCCAACAUCAUUUAUUGAAUAUUUACAACUCGACUAAGCAUUACAUUACAUUACAUUACAUCAAAACUACCAAUGCCUCAACCAAACUUAGUACAUGCCAUGCAUUCCUAUCCACACCUUGGUAGCCUUUUCCUUUUCACUAUUAAAUCCUGCCGGUCCUUCUUUCAUUUUUGCAAGCUUGUGAUCCUUUGCCUGCAUACCAUUCAUCAUACCCCAUAUAUAUUCUAGCUCUCUUACCUCACUCAUAUUCUGGUGGCCCAACCCACAUUUUGUCUGGCUCUCUAUACUCACUCAGAACAUGCUGCGUCCAUCCAAAGUCUGCCUUGCGGGGUUUGUCUGGUCCUUCUUUCCAUCAACAUCGUCUCAGACUAUUAUCUCCUCUCAUUUAUUCGGUGGCCUAUCCCCAUUGUAUUAAGUGGCACUCUUACCUCACUCUUUUGGUGACCCCGCCCCUUAUCCAGUGAGCCAAGCGUCAGUAACGACGUUGCUUUUUGAUCCUUCGAUGUCGGCUCUUCCUAUCAUUAUGGAGCAGAAUUCAUCAAGUAUUGGAUUGUUCAUCCAGCAAUAGGGAACGUGAGAUGGGUUUAGACCGUCGUGAGACAAGUUAGUUUUACCCUACUGAUAAUCGUGCUGCGAUAGUAAUUCAACCUAAUACGAGAGGAACCGUUGAUUCACACAAUUGGUCAUCGCGUUUGGUUAAAAAGUCAGUGGUGCAAAGCUAUCGUGUGUUGGAUUAUAACUGAAAGCCUCUAAGUCAGAAUCCAAGCUACCGUGGAAGGAUUUUCAUAAAAAUAUAUGGCAGGUUUUCGCACAUGACAUCUCCAUCCCAAGAUGCUAAAUGUAUACAUUUGAUCCGUUUUGGUUCAACGGACACACCUUUGGGUUGCUCAGAUAAACUUUUGGUUUAAUUGACAUUCUGAAAGAUAUGGUGGAUAUGGUGCAUAAUAAUAUUAAGGAAGCUAAUAAGAAAUACAAAUCAGAUGUUAAUGGGUCACACAGAUUUUAGUCUUUUUCUGAAGGGGAAUUCAUAAUGAUGCGUUUAAAAAGGGCAGAUUCCCCCAAGGUUCUUAAUCCAUGCUAGAUUUUGAGAAAAAUAAGUGACAAUGCAUAUGUAGUUGAUUUGCAGAAUAAUUUUCCUUGUCAGCUACUUUCAAUGUUUCUGAUAUGAGGAAGUAUUAUCCAUCAGAAGGUUCUGAUAAACUUCAUUCAAUGUCGAAUGUUCCUGAAGAGGCAGCGUCUGAUGGAGAGUCUAGGCCUGUUGGGCCCAAUUCUCGAGAGGAGUUGAGUAUUGGACUCUGCUUAGAUAGAGUCGUGCCCUACUUCCACUAAAGGAAUCGUGGAUUCAUCUCCUUGGCGUCCACUACAUGGAGAUGAAUAUAAGUAGGGAAUAAAGUGCACAGUAGUGCAGUUUUUGUCUUUUAUAAAAAGAAUAAUCGAGCUAUUCUUCUCUUCCUUUGCUAUCAUCCUUUUCUAGUAUUCUUCCUUCUCAUUUUAUCUGCAUUUCUCUAUCUCUGUUGGGAUUUCUGAUACGCUUAACGUCGUACCAGGUCCAUUACCUAAACACCAGUGUCGAGCUCCGGCCACUCACUACAUCUUCCAGGUUGACUAUGUGGUCAACCGCCAGAGUAAUUAUGAAAGGCACAAUUGCAUCCCAGACCCUAAGCUAUUAGAGAAGUGUAUUAAGUCAGUUAUUAAUUAAUUCAGACAUUAACUAAUUAUCUUAAUCUACUUUCUUAAUUUUAGUUAAUUACGAUCUCUGUCGCCGGCGAUCUAAUCGCCCACCAAUUGAUACACGAUCUAAUCAUAGAUACAUAAAGUUAAAGGGGAGACCUAAAGCAUACAUUUAUUUAUGUUGAUGAUUUACUAUUGUUCUCCAAAGAUAACUCUAAAUCUUUUCAAACAAUCCUACGCUGAGCACAUGCUUAUUUUCCACAGUAUCUAAUGUAACUACAUCAAGAGUCCAAUCUUAUGUGGCAUCAACCUGUAACUCUUCUAUAAUGUUAUAGAUAUUGUCAUAUUUCCGUAUAGGAGAAUGAAUGAAAAUUUCUUAUUUCACUAUCUAUUGUAAUCUGUGCUUGCCUCUUUCGUUAUUAAUGAAAUUUAUUUACCGUCAUAAAAAAAACUAUACAUGUCUUUGUAUUGUAUUCUUAUAUCGUUCAAAAGAUUUGUUGUGGUGAAGGGUUCUAAAACCUAAGAGUGUGUGUUCAACCAGAGAGUGAUAUGUUUAAAAAAACACUUUGAGAAUAUGAUUCUAUAACUAUCUCAAAAUAGAUUAUUAUAGAAUAGUAGUUUUUGCAUAAGAAAAUUAUUUUCAUUAUUCUUUUCUUAUAUAAUUAAAUUGUAAAAAUUUGUAUUUCUUCAAUUUUUCUGAUGCGAAAAACAAUUGAGCAUCGAUAAUUUAUUUAACUAG
This 3523-nucleotide long non-coding RNA is filed under the name Zostera marina. Its description in RNAcentral is "long non-coding RNA (ZMAR_LNC005667)". The stretch from base 1522 to 2066 matches the Rfam family "Eukaryotic large subunit ribosomal RNA", at positions 2391 to 3399 of the family's 3401-position model. The record is from RNAcentral. Lineage: Eukaryota; Viridiplantae; Streptophyta; Magnoliopsida; Alismatales; Zosteraceae.